This is a long non-coding RNA of Dermacentor silvarum, 349 nucleotides long. RefSeq lists it as uncharacterized. Lineage: Eukaryota; Metazoa; Arthropoda; Arachnida; Ixodida; Ixodidae. The record is from RefSeq and is a predicted model, not a curated record. The transcript has 3 exons.
AGCCAACGCCACAGCGCUGCGUGACUGGCCAGGUCAUACAGGCCAAGGGAAUUCCUGAAGAAGUCCCCAGUGGACGCGUUGACGACGUGCAUCCUCUGAGGACUUCCUUGGUUUUGGUACUGGAUUUCUACAUAAAAAAGCCCAAUUCAACACGGAAAGUGACGUCACGACUACACUUACGUCACGAACCAUGUUCAUCUUGGCUGUGCUGGUCGCGCUCGUGGCGAUCAAGCUAAUCCAGAUCACACGGGCGGUGACGGCGGUGGCAGAAGGACGCCCCCUUACAUCUUUAUUCGACCCUUUGCAGGUUGGUGAACGGAAGUUCAUUCCUAAAUACUUUUUCGGCCCC